Molecule: ribosomal RNA, 253 nt
Filed under: uncultured bacterium
Lineage: Bacteria
Description: partial 16S ribosomal RNA
Rfam family: Bacterial small subunit ribosomal RNA
Source: RNAcentral
UACGGGGGGGGUAAGCGUUGUUCGGAAUUACUGGGCGUAAAGGGCUCGUAGGCGGCCAACUAAGUCAUACGUGAAAUCCCUCAGCUUAACUGGGGAACCGCGUGUGAUACUGGAUGGCUUGGAUUUGGGAGAGGGAUGCGGAAUUCCAGGUGUAGCGGUGAAAUGCGCAGAUAUCAGGAGGAACACCGGUGGCGAAGGCGGGUCUCUGGGCCGAUACUGACGCUGAGGAGCGAAAGCGUGGGGAGCGAACAGG